CGGACGGGUGAGUAACACGUGGGUAACCUACCUAUAAGACUGGGACAACUUCGGGAAACCGGAGCUAAUACCGGAUAAGAUAUCGAACCGCAUGGUUCGAUAGUGAAAGANGGUUUUGCUAUCACUUAUAGAUGGACCCGCGCCGUAUUAGCUAGUUGGUGAGGUAACGGCUCACCAAGGCAACGAUACGUAGCCGACCUGAGAGGGUGAUCGGCCACACUGGAACUGAGACACGGUCCCAGACUCCAGGGAGCAGCAGGA
RNAcentral lists this ribosomal RNA (261 nucleotides) under uncultured Staphylococcus sp. RNAcentral describes it as "partial 16S ribosomal RNA". It matches the Rfam family "Bacterial small subunit ribosomal RNA", at positions 99 to 354 of the family's 1533-position model. The record is from RNAcentral. Lineage: Bacteria; Bacillati; Bacillota; Bacilli; Caryophanales; Staphylococcaceae.